GGAUGAAGAACGUAGCGAAAUGCGAUAAGUAAUGCGAAUUGCAGAAUUCAGUGAGUCAUCGAAUCUUUGAACGCACAUUGCGCCCUGUGGUAUUCCGCAGGGCAUGCCUGUUCGAGCGUCAUUUCAACCCUCAAGCCUCGCUUGGUGUUGGGCCCUGCCCGCCGCGGCCGGCCCUAAAGAUAGUGGCGGCGCCGCCUGGCCCUCAGCGUAGUACAGCUCUCGCUCCAGGGUCCGGCGGCAGCCUGCCAGAACCCCCCAACUCUGUGGUUGACCUCGGAUCAGGUAGGGAUACCCGCUGAACUUGAGCAUAUCAAUAAGCGGAGA
RNAcentral lists this unclassified non-coding RNA (324 nucleotides) under soil metagenome. RNAcentral's name for it is "partial contains 5.8S ribosomal RNA, internal transcribed spacer 2, and large subunit ribosomal RNA". The stretch from base 2 to 121 matches the Rfam family "5.8S ribosomal RNA", at positions 35 to 154 of the family's 154-position model. The record is from RNAcentral.